UGUCUACCCGUACGACGUCGGACGGCUAGCUCAAACAUGGUAAAAAUGCUAAACGUACGACUGGUUGCGCAGAGACCAUCUGCGCAUGAACAUGCCUCCAAUGUGCCAUGCGAAUCGAGCGCCAUUUUGUUCUCGAACGUGGUGGGAUGGUGUAGUGACCGCAAUUAUAGGCAUAAUUCGUUUUCUGCUGAAUGUAUAGCAAACUGGUGAUUGCGAUCUGGCGAUCUUUUUUCCCUGAAUUUCUGCAUGUAUAGAAUGUAGUUGCAGAUUAAAUAAUUACAUGGUUCUGCUCGAUUCAGGAAGGAUUUCAUGUCUGCAGAUAAUGUAUUACAAGAGGCUGUUGUGUGCCAGUGGACAAGCUGGUGAGAAGCUGAACACUAAUAGCUUGAAUCCUGGUGAAUGGACUGCCUGCAUAAGCGUCGUCAUGAUUUUUCCACGUGUAAUAUGAAUGCAAGCCAGUUUGCCUUAA
This 469-nucleotide unclassified non-coding RNA is filed under the name Stegodyphus dumicola. RNAcentral describes it as "uncharacterized LOC118198580, transcript variant X3". Lineage: Eukaryota; Metazoa; Arthropoda; Arachnida; Araneae; Eresidae. The record is from RNAcentral.